CGACCGCCCGCGCGCUCAUGCGGGCCGAGGCCACACGGACAGCCGGGUCGGAUGCCGA
Molecule: non-coding RNA, 58 nt
Submitted as: unclassified sequences
Source: Rfam